Macaca mulatta (Rhesus monkey) is the source of this 4574-nucleotide long non-coding RNA. RefSeq lists it as uncharacterized. Lineage: Eukaryota; Metazoa; Chordata; Mammalia; Primates; Cercopithecidae. The record is from RefSeq and is a predicted model, not a curated record.
GCGCAAAUCCAUCUUACUCUCAAUAGCUAAGUGACAUGAAAGCCAUAAAAGAAAAAGUGGUCAGCAAUAUUUAGCAGCACGACUUGGCCCCGGGCGCAGGGAGCCGCGCUAUAAAAAACCGCUGGAAUUUACUGGCAGCUACAAAUAUUUGCUUAACUUGCUUCUGGAGUUGGGGGAUUUUCCGGGGAGAGAGAAGGAGAAUGAGUGAGGGCUGGAAGCCGACUCUCAGGAGCCGGGGUCCAAAAGGAGAAAGGCUUGAUAGGCUAGAAAGGAACAAGGCUGGGAGCUUUCUUUUCCGGGGAAGAAGAAACUUGGGGUGUCGCUUAGUUUCUGCUCCUUGGCCUCCUCCAGAGGGCCCAAGACUCCUCCACUCUGGGAAUCUUGGGAAGGGAACCAGGAGGCAAAGGGGAGUUUGGGUCGCCAAUGUUUUCUCGGCUUUAGGACUGAUGUUUGCCAAAAGAGCCCUGACAUGGAGUAACUUCCCACCCAGCUCCUUCUUGGACCUUCCUGCUCCCAAAAGAGGUUUGCACAAAAAAUUUUCAGGCAAUUUGCCCCAUCCAACCAUGCUGGAUUUCAGAAGCUGAGCUUGUUAGGCAGUUAAUCCACCUUGUUGGGGAUAUGACUCACCUCCUCCAAAUGAACCCCUUGUGGCCAAGAAUGGGGGAGGGAAAACUUUGGUUGGAACACAUUUCGCGCGUGUGUGUGUGUGUGUGUGUGUGUGUGUGUGUGUGUUUGCAGGAGGGACCAACAGUAACACCCCACCCAGCAAGUCACAACUAAAAUCCUGAGGAGUUCUUUACUCCUUUCCUCUCCCUGUUUCUUAGGCACUUCCCAGCAAGCCACCCCCACUUCUUUACUUCCUCCCCCCAGUUACAGGAGGUUCCCAGAACCUCCUAUCUUGGACUUUCUGAGGUGCUGUUAUUCGGGGCAACUAUCAAAUUCUACCUGUUAAAACAUGAUGGAUUAGAGAGAAAAAAAAACCCUCCAGGAACCUGAAAAACCAGCGUUCAUCUCCAUGACCACGGCUUGAACUCUCCUUCCAACUUAACGAUAAUAGGUUCUGUCUUAGAAACUGCUAUGUAAUUUGAUGUAUGGGGGUCAUUUGGCUCCGGACGAGGGAUGGAAGCACAAGCCAUAAAAUCCUGCCAGAGUUUCCUGAUCUUUGUGUACUGUUGUUGUUGUUGAUAUUUGUUACUUGGCCUAUUUACCUGCUUCAGAAAUUCCAAGUAAAGGAUAACCCUGAAAAUCUAAAAAGCAGUUGAAAACCCCCUCAACCCUCUUUCAUUUAGAAAGCAGUUUGCAAAAGUUCAAUCUGUUUUCUUUUUGUUUUCAACCAUUGCAUGGUCAACCUCUAGUUCUCAGCACAGAAAAGUUCCAUGUGAGUUUCAAAUAUUCACCCCCCCACACACACACACACUCGGAAUGUUAGUCCCUCUGACCACUUAAGAAAAUUAUAACAAAUUCAAAAGAAAAUGGUUAACAUUCAGUCCAACUAUAUAUAUUGAGUCCCAGAAUUAUUCACAUUUUCCAGGAAUAUUAGAUGCUUUGUUAACUAGAAAAAAAAGAUAAUGUAUUGCAUCUACCAGUAGAUGAUUAUAAUUCCAUUGCUAAUAAUGGAGUCCUUUAGAUUUCAUUAUUAAGCCAACAAUCUGACCAACAUCUGCAAAACAGGCACAAUUAAUUUUCCAGAACCUCAAUUAAAAAUUACAGCAUCCCUUAUCCAGAGUUAUUGUCAGUGAUCAUGAGCCCUGGAGCAUUGUUCCUCUUUUGGAAAUAGGAAGCUACACAUACCAUGGUUGAAAGUAAAUAAAGGAUAAAAUAAAACUGAAUAGCAAUUUAAUGUAUCAAUUUCCUUUUCUUUUACUGAAAACAGUUCCUAUUACAUUUGGCAGAGUUAAUGUCGGCCAUUAUAAAUUUUUUAGAUACCAGGCUUGUGUAAAAUAAAAUGUCAGGUUAAGAAAAUUAGACACUCGAACAGCAAGAUAUUAGAUAAAACAAAAUUAAGUUGAUUUUGCACAUGCAAUAUUUCUAGUGACUUGCUAAUCCAUUAUCACAGGUUAUACCAGCCUACUACUUACUUAAGUCUUUUUAUCAAGUUGUGCAUUGUUUUGCACAAUAACAAAAAUAUCUUUGAAAAUCAAAGAGCAUACAACAGCCCCCAUAAACUUAAAAUAUGAAUUCGAUUCUGGGAUCCCACCAAAAUCCUUCCCAUUGUUUGAGGUCAGCAGACCACUACCUUGGAGCUCAUACAUCCCCACACCCCAACCCAGCCCCCAAAGUUUGCAACCUAGUAAAGAAGUUGGAGAUUUGCCAGCCAGGAAACUUUGCUUUGCACUGCCAAGCAAAGGCUGGCGAUGAGGGGAGAUUCCUCCACAAAGAUCUGUUUCUGGACAAUACUCUCCAGGUGCAAGAGCCGAAAAAGAGUUGAAGAGGCUAAAUUGAGUGCAAGAAGCAAGCCCUAUUGCUUCUCUGGAAGAUGUGUCCAAAUUCACCCUCCGUCCUACAAACAUCGCUCCCUCUUCCCGUUCCCUCCUCUUCCUUAGCCUUCCCUCACCCCAAAUCUGAGCGGGUUCGUCGGAUAGGAGCCCCGAGUCCCCUGCUCACCUCUCCUUCUCUCUGCAACCCAGAAAAGUUAAGGCUGGGCUAGGGGAGAGACAAGAGGUGGGGGCGGGGAUGGGAAAGCGGCCUGAACUCGAAGUGUAAGGGUAUCAGUCACUGCCGGGAAGGAAGCUCCGGCUUGUGAACUCUUCUUGAACCGAGAUUUAAGUCUGCAGCCAUAAAUCACCGAGACGUAAACUCCGCCAUUCAGCGCCGGGAGCGGCCGGUUGCGGCCCUGCUUACCUUAACUUCUGACGAGCGCCGCAAGCACAGGCUCGGGCUCAGGCUCAGACACCGGCUCCGGCCCCCGGCCUGGCUCAGCGGCCCGGCCGGGUCCCCUCGGCGCGGGAUGGGCACCGACCCUCAGCAUCAGCUGAGACGGAAUUCGUUUGAGAAUAGAAUAGAACCACGUAUUCCUCUGCCCUGGACACUUCCAAUUGUGGGGUGAAGGGAAAAAGAACCAAGAAAAGUGAGUUUCCCAGACUUUGCCCAGUUUAUUUCACCUGCAACCCCCAAACAGAUCUUUAGGUGGGGGUGUGGGGAGCUGGGAUAAGGCUUUUCUCUAGGGAUCCCAAAGAGCCAACUGGGCUCUCUUUGGUUAUAUUUUUAGGCAGAAAUUGCUGACAUCUUAGCAGCCAGGAGGGAAGUGUCCUGGAAGAGACAUGCACUUGUUCCAGCAGUGAAAUGGGAUGCUCCAGGCUCAGGUACACACAAGGGUGUUUAGAAAUGCGGAUCUCCAGGGCUCGUGUGCCCAUUUCACAGUGCAGACACACAGCUCACCCACAGGGAAGACAGAGAAAGCUCUGACCCCAACAGAAACUGAUAUCAUAUAUAUAUAUAAACACACACACACGCAGGGCAGAGGAAUAUGUGGUUUUUCAUACACACACACAUACAUAUUUUCCUCAUUAGUGGGAUGGAGUAACGCUGAGCUGGGCAAAAGAAAGGUUCGAAUUUGCCUGGUAAUAUUGCCACAACUUGAAAGAGGAUGAUUUUCCUCCUAAAGCCUCCUUUGCUCCCCAGCUUCAGAAGCAAACUCUGCAAGGGUUAUGAGUGUGGCAAAAAGAGAGAAAUGGAGAUUUCCUGCAAUCCCAAGGCGUCAACAGCGGGUCCUUCUCAAAGGAAGGUGUUAAAAAUAUAAGGAGUAUGUUUAAACUGUCAAGGAGCCAAAGUGUCACCUUAGAGCAAAAACAAAGCCAGGGGAAAAGGGAGAAAUCAAAAAGCACUCCGGGCCAGGGUGGCCUCAUGCAUACCAAUGGUUUUUGUCAUUUAUGGCUGGGCAAGAUUUAUGACUCGGCGCCCCAAAGCUGUAAACAGAGCACAAAACAGCAAACACUUGCUCCUUAAGGCAUAUUGCAGAGCAACUUGAAAGGGGGAGCCGGCCGCGUAGGAGGUGAGAGCCAGCCGCAAAAAUCCGUUCGGCGGCAUUUUCUCUUCAAACCCGCCCGGUCGGAUGUGGCAUUUGAAGAAAGAAGGCGUGGGUCAAUAAUCAACCCGCACUUUCUCCUCCAAACUGCUGACGCGACUCUCACCGCCUUCUCAGCUAAGCCAGCUGCCGGGAAGGCCAGCUCUCCGUGAGAACCUGCCGGGAGAAGGAAUUCUCCGGGCCAUAGGGACCGAGGGCGCCCGAGCUAGGGCUGGGGCGCCCGGAAUGCAUACCUUUCCACUGGCGCCAAGACCCUGCCAGGCAAAACGCGGGGACCGGACCUGAGGAGCCGCGGGAGCCCAGGGAGAUCUGAGGCUGGAGCUUCGUUCCGGCCAGGGCCUCUAUCCGCCCCGAUACGUGGCUCGCGGGCCGCGGGCCUCAGCGGGCAGAAGUGGGGCUCCGACCUCAAGACGAAAGUCCGGCGUCCUGGCACGCAGAUGGUCGGUGCCCCAGCCUCAAGCCGCUCUGCUGAAAUCCAAAGGACUGGCUUUGGAGCAAACGUAGGCGAGAGGAUUUUAAAAUAAUAAUUUAUACUGGCGGAAUGUUUUUA